This 165-nucleotide ribosomal RNA is filed under the name uncultured bacterium. RNAcentral's name for it is "partial 16S rRNA". It matches the Rfam family "Bacterial small subunit ribosomal RNA", at positions 355 to 511 of the family's 1533-position model. The record is from RNAcentral.
UAGGGAAUCUUCGGCAAUGGACGAAAGUCUGACCGAGCAACGCCGCGUGAGUGAAGAAGGUUUUCGGAUCGUAAAACUCCGUUGGUAGAGAAGAACGUUGGUGAGAGUGGAAAGCUCAUCAAGUGACGGUAACUACCCAGAAAGGGACGGCUAACUACGUGUCAG